This 497-nucleotide ribosomal RNA is filed under the name uncultured bacterium. RNAcentral describes it as "partial 16S ribosomal RNA". It matches the Rfam family "Bacterial small subunit ribosomal RNA", at positions 28 to 507 of the family's 1533-position model. The record is from RNAcentral.
GAUGAACGCUGGCGGCGUGCUUAAUACAUGCAAGUCGAGCGGACAGACGAUGCGCUUGCUCCUCUCACGUUUGCGGCGGACGGGUGUGAAACACGUGGAUAACCCCCUUAUCAUUCUGGGAACACUUCGGGAAUCCGGCGCUAAUCCCGGAUAAUCUCUUGAACCACAUGGUUCAUUGGUGAAAGACGGCUUUGCUGGCACUACUCGCUGGUUCUGCGCUGCAUUAGCUAGUUGUUACGGUAACAGCUUACGACGGCAACGAUGCGUAGCCGACCUGUCAGGGUGAUCGCCCGCAUGGGAGCUGGGACAGGGUCCAGACUACUACGGGAGGCAGCAGUAGGCAACGUGCCGCAAUGGGCGAGAGCAUGACGGAGCAACGCGGCGUGAGUGACGAAGGUCUCCGGAGCGUAAAACUCGGUUAUGAGGGAAGAACAACUGUGGACGGAAAUAUGCACGGCGUGACGGUACCUAAUCAGAAAGCCACGGCUAACUACGUG